AACGAACUCUGGUAUUGAUUGGUGCUUGCAUCAUGAUUUACAUUUGAGUGAGUGGCGAACUGGUGAGUAACACGUGGGAAACCUGCCCAGAAGCGGGGGAUAACACCUGGAAACAGAUGCUAAUACCGCAUAACAACUUGGACCGCAUGGUCCGAGCUUGAAAGAUGGCUUCGGCUAUCACUUUUGGAUGGUCCCGCGGCGUAUUAGCUAGAUGGUGGGGUAACGGCUCACCAUGGCAAUGAUACGUAGCCGACCUGAGAGGGUAAUCGGCCACAUUGGGACUGAGACACGGCCCAAACUCCUACGGGAGGCAGCAGUAGGGAAUCUUCCACAAUGGACGAAAGUCUGAUGGAGCAACGCCGCGUGAGUGAAGAAGGGUUUCGGCUCGUAAAACUCUGUUGUUAAAGAAGAACAUAUCUGAGAGUAACUGUUCAGGUAUUGACGGUAUUUAACCAGAAAGCCACGGCUAACUACGUGCCAGCAGCCGCGGUAAUACGUAGGUGGCAAGCGUUGUCCGGAUUUAUUGGGCGUAAAGCGAGCGCAGGCGG
Molecule: ribosomal RNA, 548 nt
Filed under: Lactobacillus sp. DumLac11
Lineage: Bacteria; Bacillati; Bacillota; Bacilli; Lactobacillales; Lactobacillaceae
Description: bacterial SSU rRNA
Rfam family: Bacterial small subunit ribosomal RNA
Source: RNAcentral